CGUUGGAUACCUCCACCGAUUCACACCCAGAAAAUCAAUGUAGAUGGUGUUGUGGCCCGCCAUGGACGUGGAGGAGCAGUAGCUGCGAUUUGUCGAGACCACUCUGGAGCUUACUUGGGGUCGUCGGCGGUGGUGUUUCGAGGAAUAAAUGAUGCGGUGAUCCUGGAAUCUUAUGCAUGUAGGGAGGGGCUUGCACUUGCAGAGGACCUGGAUAUUCAGCAACUACUGAUAGCAUCAGAUUGCCAGAAUGUAGUCAAGGACAUAAAUUAG
This 270-nucleotide ribosomal RNA is filed under the name Triticum aestivum (bread wheat). RNAcentral's name for it is "partial small subunit ribosomal RNA". Lineage: Eukaryota; Viridiplantae; Streptophyta; Magnoliopsida; Poales; Poaceae. The record is from RNAcentral.